AUGUGUUUGUGGUUCCUGUGGAGACCAGAGGGGGUCUCCACAGGCGACCACAGAUGUCAUAGAACUGAACUUACAGAGGAUUGUGAGCUGUCAAGAGGAUGCUGGGAGUUGGGCCUGGGUCCUUUGCAAGAACAGCACAUGCUCAUGACUGGUAAGCCAUGGUUGGUGCUGCUGGCAUGGUUCCAGCUCCAUGGCUAAUACUUUAGAGGUGUAUUUUAUGCCACUGCUCAGAGCUGCUCGAGGAGGACUGAGCUACACUGGCAUACUGUGGCUGGAUCGCAUAACACACUAUUUUGUUCUGCCCAACCCUCCAUUUCAGCACUAGAGGAAGGAACUGUGCAAAGGAGUCAUUCUGUGUGCACACACAAGCUCAACUUGAGGGAACCUUUGCUACCUACGACCACACAUCUCUACUCCGUUUCCAGUCAUGUUUCCUGUCUCUCCCAUAUCAGAUUCUAGUACCAACAUCUUGGCUUAAAGUGAACAAAAGUUUGCACUGAUGUGGAAUCAUCACACUUCCUCUGAGCUUCCUACUGCAGCAGUGCAUAUAAACUUGGAGAGAAAUCACAUCAAAAAUCCUAGUGUGAGAAUCAUGGGAACUGUGAGACCUAAGCCCAUCCCAUUGCUGGCAAACAGGCCCCAAACAUCCUUGCCUUCAGCAAUGAAAAACUCCAACUGGAAGGUCGCAGCCCUCUUGAGCUGAGCUGUGAUCUCAGCACACCAUGCUCAUGAUAAGAAGAUCUCCAUUAUUUGGUUCUGUAUUUGUUAUAGCGAGAUUAUUUUACCUCUCUUUUUCAAAGCAAUAAACAAAUUUAAAACUGAAAUUAAGUGAGAAACCAUUCCUUCCAGAAAAGCUAGGAACAAUUAAUUCUCUAGAAGACCAUGAGAGGUUUUCGUUCUCAAAUAAGUUAUAAAUAAUAUCCAUGGGGUUACAGAGUUGGACAGUCAAGGCAUUGUGGUAAGGAAGAGAUGACACACUCACUUUUAAAAGACCAGUGCAAUUCCACAGCCCUUCCUUUAGGGACUCUCAUGGUACUUUGUUCUGUGAUUGACGUAGGACUUCUACACUAAAACAGUGAUGAUUUCUGCACACUGAGACUACUGCAAAUGCAUGCAAAGGGAUUUAUAAACUUUGCAAGUAUAUAUUUUCAGACUAAAGCCAUUUUGGAGAAAUUGUAUAUUUAUUUACAUUUGUAUAUUAAUGUAUUACUAGUAUACCUUAAGAAAUGUUUAAUUUAUACAGCUACUGAUAGGUUUUAUUGUAGUCAUGUCCAUUUUUAGAAAUUGUUCAUUUUCUUUUUAUGAUCAGUUUAAAUGCCUGUGACUGUGAGCAUAUAAAUACAAUAGGUGUCCAUUAAGAUCAAUAUAUAUGUCAUUUUCCCCACCGUAUAGCAAACAUUUUCCAGUUAAAUAAAGUCAAGCUACAAAGCUCUUGUCCUCUAGGGGAAACUAGUGUUUUCUAGAGUGUGUGUUUAAAUUCACCAGGCCUGCUUCAGAGACAUGAAUCUCAUUUGCACAUAAAUCUGUGAUUUGUUCCUUUUGGACUCAUCAGUGUGAACAAGUAUGAGAAAUCACAGGCAUUUAUAAAGAUGUUCUGCAGGAAAACCACUCGAUAUCAAAGGUCAGGCUAAACCAUUUCCAGAUUACAUGUCAGCCAUUCUUUCUCUCAUUCAGCAAACCGUUUACACAUAAACUAGACUGGAGAAUUUAACCAAUGCUUACUUUAAAAGCUCUAUUUGAUUUGAUCUGAGUAAGGCUUAAGGUAUUCACUGAGAUACUUGAUUAUGUGAUUUCUUAUAUUACCUCCUUUGUGGUUAAUAUCUAUUAGAUGGCAUUAUAAAAAAAUGAAAGUUUGGAAACUAUGACAGCUCAAAUUAUUGAAACUGAAUUUAGAUAAUUACACAAAUUGUCAUAUUUAUUAUAAUCUAUUUUGCUUAUUAGUCUCAAUGGACAGUUAUUUAAUUUAGAAAUAUUACUUGCCACUUAUCCAUAACAGAAUAAAUAUUCUUUAAUGGUAACUGAUUAUUGAAAGUAAAUUAAAACAAGCAAAUAAACACAGUAGAAGAGAAAUAAAAAAUUGGUAACUGUAGUCCAAUAAAUUUAUGUCAAUA
This is a long non-coding RNA of Mus musculus (house mouse), 2111 nucleotides long. RefSeq annotates it as predicted gene, 32746. Lineage: Eukaryota; Metazoa; Chordata; Mammalia; Rodentia; Muridae. The record is from RefSeq and is a predicted model, not a curated record. The transcript has 2 exons.